This is a non-coding RNA of Manis javanica (Malayan pangolin), 1265 nucleotides long. Lineage: Eukaryota; Metazoa; Chordata; Mammalia; Pholidota; Manidae. The record is from RefSeq and is a predicted model, not a curated record.
AAUAACAACGCUGAGCCGUAUGUUCAGUGAGAAGCUGCAAUCUCUGCUCUCUCUCUUCCGUCCCCCAUGUCUCCUGAGAGGAAAGAAGUGAUAUUUUAGUCGCAUGCAGCUCCACAGAAGCAAGUACAUGAUAACACGAGGAAGAUGCAGAGCUGAGCUCGGACAGCACGUGGAGGCCCUGUGAGCCCGCACUUCUGGCAGCAUGCUGGAAGCCCUACCACAGAGCAGCUAUGGCAAGAAUUAAGAGGACAUCAAAACCGCAAACAAGCUACACUCCUGUGGAUUUGGGGAGAAACAAGACACUUAAACAUUCCUGUUAUGGUUUCCUUGGAACCAUCCAUACCAACAACUCUGUAAUACUAUGGGUUUUCUGUUUUCUUAACCCUUCAGGGCAUCCACUGAAUGAAAACUUCCUUAAGGAAAUAUUUCAACCAACUAGGUGGACUGGAAUAAAUUAAGCUCCGUGGUGUAUGGCCUUCUGACCCCUUCCCAUAGCCCAAGGUGCUGGAGGGAGAGGGAGAGACGGUUCUAUGUACAAAUUCCACCUCGACUUCCAUGGGAGUCUACUUGAGUUUUACUGAUACUGUUUACAGGUGACUUGUGUGGAAAAAAGUAACAAACACAUCAAGGAAAUAAAAAGUUAAAUUACCUUUGGAAGUCCCCAUCAAAUAUGUUUAGUAAAGGCACUCAAACCAAAAAAGUUGUAUGUAGUAGCACUGAUGAAAAUGACAGAAAACAGCUAUCAGCCCUUAAAUGAUGCACAUCUAAAAAUAAGGGUUUAGGUAAAAAUUUGGGGCCAAUUCAAUCUAAUUUAUAACUUCAAAGGAAAUAAUUCAAAGCAAUCAUCUCAUUCAAUUAGCUGAGAAAAUGAUACUCUUAGGAAAGGUUGGGAUGGGAAAGAAUAUAUAUAAGGGAUAUUGCAGUCAUUAAUACUUUUGAAGUAUAUAAUAAUAAUAAAUGCAAUUAAGAGGCUUAAUUAUUUGGCAUGUGCUAAAUAAUUAGAUUAUAAUAACUAAUAAUAAUAGUAAUAACUAUAAGAAUAAUAAUAGCAAGAAGAUGCAGAAGAAAUAGAAGAAAAAGUAAUUUCUUCUAGAAAUUUAAAAUACUCAGAAGUAUCAGUGAUAUAGCAUCUGUGAGAAUUUUUCUUUUUUGGAAUUAUUCAUUAAAAGUGCAAUAUGAUCUAUAAAGAUUAUGUUUUUCUUAAAUUAUUAUCAUUCAGGAAUACUGUGGAGCUAAUGUAAAUCAAUAAAAAUACAACUCACAAG